UCUGCCUUGAAAUCUACUACAGGAGCAUCAACAGAAAAGUCUUCCACAAUCAAAUCUACCUUGGAAUCUACCACAGGAGCAUCAACAGAAAAGUCUACAACACCCGAAUCUACCUUGAAAUCUACUACAGGAAUAUCAACAGAAAAGUAUUCCACAACCAAAUCUACCUUAGAAGCUACUACAGGAACAUCAACAGAAAAGUCUACAACACCCGAAUCUACCUUGAAAUCUACUACAGGAACAUCAACAGAAAAGUCUUCCACAAUCAAAUCUACCUUGGAAUCUACUACAGGAAUAUCAACAGAAAAGUCUUCCUCAACCAAAUCUACCUUAGAAGCUACUACAGAAACAUCAACAGAAAAGUCUACAACACCAAAAUCUACCUUAACAUCUACAACAGGAACUACCAAAUCUUCAAUAAAAACUAAUACAGAGAAAUCAACAGGAAAGGCUACAUCAUCUAUCGCACCAACUUCCACAAAGUCAUCGACUAAAUUAACUUUAAAAUCGACAACUGAAAUUAAAACAAAAACUUUCAAAGCUACAUCUCGAACAUCACAAAGGCCUGAGAAAACAAAAAAAGCCACAAUGCAACCAAAAACAACACGACCUACUAUUGUCCAAAAAGUUACGCAAUCCAAAGGCGGUAAAAAAAAAGUUACACUUCCGUAUUACCCAAAACAUACCAACCUUCCCACACCGCCAAGGCCAGUGAGCAAACCCGAAGUUAAGAAGAGUAGAGUUAGGAAAAUGGCCAAAAGCUUUUUGGGAAGAUCGAAAAAUAGCAGAAUUGGAAAAAGUUGUUUUGAAACAGCGUUAAAUUCAAUCUUAAGUGUAAUUAUUGAGUUUGUUGAAGCUUAUCGAAACUGUUAUUACCCAGAAAAAAUUAACGCUCUUAUUAAAUUACUAAACAAGUGUAUGCGAUUAA
This is a long non-coding RNA of Drosophila takahashii, 928 nucleotides long. RefSeq lists it as uncharacterized. NCBI's taxonomy places the organism in Eukaryota, Metazoa, Arthropoda, Insecta, Diptera, Drosophilidae. The record is from RefSeq and is a predicted model, not a curated record.